GAUAUGUGUAUUGGUUUAAGGUGGUUGGGAGAAGACCUGGAAAGCAGGAGCAACCCCAUGGGACUUGCUGGACCAACUCCGAUCAGUAAACAUCUCGCUGAGACGGGUUCAUUGCCUAAAGGCAGAGCUCUUGUUCCUGGUUGUGGAACGUAUGUUCUUGGACAAGGACACAGCUUUCUUAAAUAUCUUAUGUUGUGUGCUUGCCAGCAAUGAAACAUUGCAGGUUUAUGAUGUGGUGGCAGUGGCCUGCCCUGAUCGUUAUGUGGUUGGAUUAUCAAAAACUGUGAUUGAAAAAUCAUCAAAGGUGUCAACAGUUCAUCUUUGCCCAAUGCAAAUUUCUUUUGUGCAUUUGAAGCUAGCGUGAGACCUCCAUGGGCACAAAGAAUAGAAAAGCUUCUGAAACCAAGUGGAGAGCUUAUAACAUUGAUGUUUCCUAUGGAUGAGCGUUCUGGAGGUCCUCCUUACAAAGUAUUUGUGUCUGAGUAAUGUGUUCUCCCCUCUUAUCUCUUUUAAUAACAGCAGCAACAUCAUUUACACGUUGUGGCAAAAGAUUCACUCUCUAAUCUUUAAAAUGUUGCAGUUACGAGAAGGUUCUGAUUCCACUGGGAUUUGAGGCAAUGUCCAUUGUGGACAAGGAACGUGCUAUAACACCACGCAAGGUAUAAUAUACAACAUGAAACUUUCAAAUAAGCCUUGAGAUAAU
This is a long non-coding RNA of Brassica napus (rape), 703 nucleotides long. RefSeq lists it as uncharacterized. The record is from RefSeq and is a predicted model, not a curated record. The transcript has 3 exons. Lineage: Eukaryota; Viridiplantae; Streptophyta; Magnoliopsida; Brassicales; Brassicaceae.